This 979-nucleotide long non-coding RNA is filed under the name Cricetulus griseus (Chinese hamster). RNAcentral's name for it is "lncRNA (ENSCGRG00015029916.1)". Lineage: Eukaryota; Metazoa; Chordata; Mammalia; Rodentia; Cricetidae. The record is from RNAcentral.
AAGCUUGUGGCUUAAUUCCAGUAAAGAAGAAGAAGAAGAAGAAGAAGAAGAAGAAGAAGAAGAAGAAGAAGAAGAAGAAGAAGAAGAGAAGAAAAGAAAUUUUUCAAAGACAAAAUGAAGAAUGUUAAAAUGAAGUGACCAUCUUGAAUCAUUAUCUGAGCAAGCCUGAAGUAACCAUCUAGCCCUUUGAUAUAAGGUCAGAGGAUGCUGUUGCUGGCUUUGAAGAUGGACAAGAGGACCACGAGCCAAAGAGCACAUGUCUGCAUGCUGGAAAAGCCUAAGAAAAGGACUCUUCCCUGGAGACUCCAGGGGGUGUGAGCCCUGCCACACCUUGAUUCUAAACACUGCUGCCCAAGAUCCAUUUCACCCUUCAGAACUGAGGGGCAAAGGACUGCCUCUGAUAGACAGGGACAGGUGGGGCACGAAAACGGCAGUUUAUAAAGAUAACCCAGGCUGUCCUGGACUUUGUAGACCAGUGCCUUUGCCUUCCAAGUGCUGGGAUUACAGGCGUGUCUUACCGCCACCACCACCACCACUGGGAUUAUUUGUUUAAGACAGAAUCUAGAUGUGUAGCUCAGGCUGGCCUUGAACUCACUCUGCAUCAUAGGCUGGCCUGGAUUUUGUGAUCGUCCUGGCUCAGCCUUUCAAGUGCUGGUGUGACAGGCAUCCAUCACCAUUCCUGACCUCCAAUCAGCUUCUCUACAAAGUAUCCAUCAUUUUAACAAACAUGCAAAGAUUGGUUGGUUUUAUAAGGCUAAUAUGAAAUUCUGGAAUGUCAUCCUUGGAGGUCAGCAAGGUGAAGAUAAGGUCUAACACUCCUACUAUGUGGGCCUCUGAUCUGAGUCCACAGCCAGGCUGGACCCGUGUUACAGACAAGAAAGAGCCCGAGCCAUGAGAAUCAAUGGUGGGGGAACCUGCAUGCUCACAGAGGCCUUCCCAGAGGAAGUGGCAUUAGCCAAGCAAGACAACUGAAGGAGAG